This 664-nucleotide ribosomal RNA is filed under the name Sarcocystis sp. RNAcentral's name for it is "SSU rRNA". It matches the Rfam family "Eukaryotic small subunit ribosomal RNA", at positions 455 to 1077 of the family's 1831-position model. Lineage: Eukaryota; Apicomplexa; Conoidasida; Eucoccidiorida; Sarcocystidae. The record is from RNAcentral.
CUCAGGGAGGUAGUGACAAGAAAUAACAACACUGGAAAUUUUAUUUCUAGUGAUUGGAAUGAUGGGAAUUUAAACCCCUUUCAGAGUAACAAUUGGAGGGCAAGUCUGGUGCCAGCAGCCGCGGUAAUUCCAGCUCCAAUAGCGUAUAUUAAAGUUGUUGCAGUUAAAAAGCUCGUAGUUGGAUGUCUGCUGGAAGCAAUCAGUCCGCCCUAUUUGUAGGGUGUGCACUUGAUGAAUUCUGGCAUCUAUGUCCCAAUGUGAUAUACGCGAUGGUGUUAUUAAUAUAUAGGUUAAUCCUGUAUAUUAUAUACCCAUUUGUGUAAUAUUGGGAUAAUACCGUUACUUUGAGAAAAUUAGAGUGUUUGAAGCAGGCUAAUUGCCUUGAAUACUGCAGCAUGGAAUAACAAUAUAGGAUUUCGGUUCUAUUUUGUUGGUUUCUAGGACUGAAAUAAUGAUUAAUAGGGACAGUUGGGGGCAUUCGUAUUUAACUGUCAGAGGUGAAAUUCUUAGAUUUGUUAAAGACGAACUACUGCGAAAGCAUUUGCCAAAGAUGUUUUCAUUAAUCAAGAACGAAAGUUAGGGGCUCGAAGGCGAUCAGAUACCGUCGUAGUCUUAACCAUAAACUAUGCCGACUAGAGAUAGGAAACUGUCAUUUUUCUGACUU